GCGUUAGAACUGUGUGGGGGCCUAUUCUGCAGUACGUUGGCCAGAAACCCUUCCACAAUGCAGCUAUGCCUUCGGUUUUCGCUAUGGACGUCAUCAUCGAGAUCAUCCCAGGCGGUUUGCCUGUGCUUUUCAAGUUUUGUAUCCUGAAAAUCAAUCGGAAAUAAUCGUUAAAGGAUUUGAAGUGUUUAAUUAAUUGUUGCAUGCAAUUUUCAACGCAGCUAUUAAUAAUUGAUUUGAGUGAUAGUACAACUCUACCUUGUCUUCGUCACGUCAAAAGGCAUCGAAUUGAAGGUAGUGAGGAAUCCAGACAACAUCGACGCAGCAAAAUGUAACGCGACACCCUCCUUCAUCUGUGCUGAAGAAUAACACACAUUUUAUAAUUGUAACAAUUGCAUCACCCAACGUUUGCAAGCUGGGACACAUUAACAACAACAGCUCUUCCCAUGGUUGCCACGCUCCCCCUCCACAGGGUGGUGAUACCUUCUUCUUUGGCUAUUCUUGCAAACGCGUGGAACACGUUCUUGUAAUUUCUUCUUUGAUCUAUAAAUACAAAGACCUUUUGGCAGUCUCCCAUCGGCAGUCAUCCUUACAAGGGCAACUUCAGCAGGAGUGCCUACAAAGGCCCCUACAGCUCCUGCUGUGCCUGCCAUGAGCGACAAUACGCCAAAGUUGGGCUUCCCGGUGUAUCUAUGCCUAUUAAAAAUACCUAAUUAAGGUUAACAAAGAGUUUAUAGAAUGAACUUUGGGCUGUGAACGU
Long non-coding RNA from Hylaeus anthracinus, 757 nucleotides. RefSeq lists it as uncharacterized. The record is from RefSeq and is a predicted model, not a curated record. NCBI's taxonomy places the organism in Eukaryota, Metazoa, Arthropoda, Insecta, Hymenoptera, Colletidae. The transcript has 3 exons.